AUGCUCACUUUGGAAGCACCUAUACUAAAAUUGAAAUAAUACUGAGAUUAGCAUGGCCCCUGUGCAAGAAGGACAUGCAAAUUCAUGAAACAUUCCAUAUUUUU
RNAcentral lists this small nuclear RNA (104 nucleotides) under Zalophus californianus (California sea lion). RNAcentral also lists the same sequence under 1 other name. Lineage: Eukaryota; Metazoa; Chordata; Mammalia; Carnivora; Otariidae. The record is from RNAcentral.